GACAGAGGGUGCAAGCGUUGUUCGGAAUUACUGGGCGUAAAGCGCGUGUAGGCUGCUCGGUAAGUCGGAUGUGAAAGCCCUGGGCUCAACCUAGGAAGUGCAUUCGAAACUUCCAAGCUGGAGUGCUGGAGAGGAAGGCGGAAUUCUCGGUGUAGAGGUGAAAUUCGUAGAUAUCGAGAGGAACACCGGUGGCGAAGGCGGCCUUCUGGACAGUAACUGACGCUGAGACGCGAAAGCGUGGGGAGCAAACAGG
Molecule: ribosomal RNA, 253 nt
Filed under: uncultured bacterium
Lineage: Bacteria
Description: partial 16S ribosomal RNA
Rfam family: Bacterial small subunit ribosomal RNA
Source: RNAcentral